This 238-nucleotide ribosomal RNA is filed under the name uncultured bacterium. Its description in RNAcentral is "partial 16S ribosomal RNA". It matches the Rfam family "Bacterial small subunit ribosomal RNA", at positions 96 to 334 of the family's 1533-position model. The record is from RNAcentral.
CGGCGGACGGGUGAGUAACGCGUGGGUAACCUGCCUCAUACAGGGGGAUAACAGUUAGAAAUGACUGCUAAUACCGCAUAAGACCACAGCACCGCAUGGUGCGGGGGUAAAAACUCCGGUGGUAUGAGAUGGACCCGCGUCUGAUUAGCUAGUAGGCGGGGUAACGGCCCACCUAGGCGACGAUCAGUAGCCGGACUGAGAGGUUGACCGGCCACAUUGGGACUGAGACACGGCCCAG